GUGCCUACGGGACGCAGCAGUAGGGAAUUUUCGUCAAUGGGCGCAAGCCUGAACGAGCGAUGCCGCGUGAGUGAAGAAGGCCUUCGGGUCAUAAAGCUCUGUUGCGGGGGAAAAAAGGCAGCAUCAGGAAAUGGGUGCUGACUGAUGGUGCCACGCCAGAAAGUCACGGCUAACUACGUGCCAGCAGCCGCGGUAAUACGUAGGUGGCGAGCGUUAUCCGGAAUGAUCGGGCGUAAAGGGUGCGCAGGCGGUCCUGCCAGUCUGGAGUGAAACGCAGGAGCUCAACUCAUGCAUGGCUUUGGAUA
RNAcentral lists this ribosomal RNA (305 nucleotides) under uncultured bacterium. RNAcentral describes it as "bacterial SSU rRNA". It matches the Rfam family "Bacterial small subunit ribosomal RNA", at positions 335 to 632 of the family's 1533-position model. The record is from RNAcentral.